This 654-nucleotide long non-coding RNA is filed under the name Equus caballus (horse). RNAcentral describes it as "lncRNA (ENSECAG00000047065.1)". The record is from RNAcentral. Lineage: Eukaryota; Metazoa; Chordata; Mammalia; Perissodactyla; Equidae.
GACUUGGUUCUUGCCCUUGAGGAUCUUGCCAGCUAGCCUCGGAGGAAAGACACACAAACGUUAUCUCAACAUAAGGUCCUUCUAGUUAUGGCAUGUGGGACACUGCCUCAGCGUGGUUUGAUGAGCAGUGCCAUGUCCUCGCCCAGGAUUCCAACGAAACACUGGGCCACCUGCAGCGGAGCGCGCAAACUUAACCACUGAGCCACCGGGCCAGCCCCCUGGCAGUCUCUACACGGCCCCAUGUCGAUGCCCACUGAUAAUUACUUAUCUCUGAAGGAAGCAGUUCUCCUGAGCCGGCUCAUCUGGGACCAGUGCGAGGCGGGGACGAGGGAGGGAGCUGCAGAAAGACCACGCCCUCCACCCGGGCUUGUCCUCAGCCCUCGGGCUUCCCUCUUCUGAGCUCCCCUAAAUCACACAGGGUGAUGGCAGCCUCUUCCUUCCAUCCACCCCGCUGAGGCAGACCGUCUUAGGGAAAAGCUGGGUCAUAGACAAUAAAAAUAGCACACGGAUUCGCCUUCAGUUUUACCUCCUACAUUUGGGAUGGGUCUGCGUCUAGGCUCCUCCCUGCUCAACGGCCCAUCAGCCCGGUGCCCACCUGCUCCCCUACCGCUGGCACAGGGCCAGACCCUGGGGCAAAGCGAGCACUCCAGAACC